ACGUAGGCAGCAAGCGUUGUUCGGAGUUACUGGGCGUAAAGGGUGCGUAGGCGGUCCCUUAAGUUCGGUGUGAAAUCUCCCGGCUCAACUGGGAGGGUGCGCCGGAAACUGAGGGACUCGAGUGCGGGAGGGGAGAGCGGAAUUCCUGGUGUAGCGGUGAAAUGCGUAGAUAUCAGGAGGAGCACCGGUGGCGAAGGCGGCAUCCUGGACCGACACUGACGCUGAGGAGCGAAAGCCAGGGGAGCAAACGGGA
Molecule: ribosomal RNA, 253 nt
Filed under: uncultured prokaryote
Description: partial 16S ribosomal RNA
Rfam family: Bacterial small subunit ribosomal RNA
Source: RNAcentral